GGGGGUAGAAGUUCAAUGUUUGUUUCUUGAAACAUAUAAAUGAACCAAAAUUUAAAAAAAUGAAAUAAAUACAAGACUAUAUACAAAUGUAGCAAAGGUUACGGACUCAAGUUGGGUCAUGCAGGUGCAACAAAUGCGGCAGUGUUAAACAUGUUUAGGGAUAUCUCAUGCCCCUCUUUAUACGUCUAACCAAUGUAGUUAUAUCUGCCUUCUAUUUGUAAUGUAUCCAAAACGUUAAAAGGAAAGGCCACUUCUUAUCCAGCUAAAACCCUGGUCAGUCCUAUGAUGAAAAUAAUUCAGAUGUAUAUGGAAUGUUUGAUAAGUUAUAUUGACCCAGAGUACCUGGACGGAAUUGUGAAAAAUAAAGUACCUUUUCAAUUUGCAAUUCGUAAAAUAACUGAACAGUGUGGCCUGGUAGAAGAGGCCGAAAAAUGAGG
This 437-nucleotide long non-coding RNA is filed under the name Mytilus galloprovincialis (Mediterranean mussel). Lineage: Eukaryota; Metazoa; Mollusca; Bivalvia; Mytilida; Mytilidae. The record is from RNAcentral.